This 2112-nucleotide long non-coding RNA is filed under the name Marmota monax (woodchuck). Lineage: Eukaryota; Metazoa; Chordata; Mammalia; Rodentia; Sciuridae. The record is from RNAcentral.
CUUGGGGAUAUUGUGAACUAGUCACUACUUGUUCUAAGGACAGUGAAAUUGCAUGAAUUAAGGCAGGGAAAAAAAUGGAGCUAGUAAACUAGUACUAGUACAAAAUAUGAGUCCAUAUUUGUGGCUCACAUCUUUUACUAGUUCCAUUUUUUUGAGUUGUUCUUAUUACUGCCAUUCCUUUCCCUACCCCCAAAUUUCAAAUAUGAACUUUGGAGUAGCAUUAUGUACUUUCAGAUAUUUAAAUGUUUGUCAUUUAUAUUCUAAGUUUUAUUCAUAUCCAAAAGGGACUCUUUUUGUAGUCUGCUUGAAUAUCCUGAAGGUUUCACUGUGGAUUUCUUGCUACUGAAGAACUUCUUAGAAAAGGGGAAUAAUUAUAUUCUUUUAGUGCUUCAAGGGGAAGGGGAAAGAUGAUGAACUUUAGUGCAUUGGUAAUGGAGGUUACACAAAAGGCACAAUUAUUAAAUUUUAUCAUUACACAGUAGACUUGAGGUUGACAGUCAAGUGACAAUUUUAAAAAAAUAGAAAUAGAAGCAUAUGCUUUCUUGAACUGAAGAGUAAUAUUUUUUAAGGCUAAAUUUGCCAUACAGCAACAAAACACUAAAAAAACACUAGUCAUAUAGUGACAAUAUAGAGACAUAUAAUUGCUGAUAUUAGGAAAUAUACUACAGUGUUAAGAAUUAUAGUUUCUCAUUCUUUAAAACUCAGGAAAUAUAAAAUGCACUUAAAACUAUCAUUUGUACACCAAAAUGUGUUUUUUUAUAUGUUAUAAGAAUUUAGAAUAGAAAUGUUUAACUUGAAGAGAUGAAGCCUUGACAUGCUUACAAAUAAGAAAAGAUAGUUUUUGAAUACAGAAUAAUAACAGCUGAAAUAGGACAUCAGUGAAGCAGUACAUAAAUCUGACAUGAUAUUGGCCAGGCAUCAAGAAAUUCAGCCAAAAGUUUUUAGGAUGACGGGAAUGAGAACACUCAAGUUAUGACUUAUUUGGGUUAAGAACAGGAGAUCCAAGAUGCUGUUGACAUGCUCCAUUGAAGAAAAGUCCAUAAUUAUAACAACAAUUUGACAACCAUGAUGUAGCAUUAUUCAUAUGAAAGCAAUGGAAAUAACAGUGGCCAUCAAAUAGAAUGAUUAAAGAAGCAAAAUGUCUAAGGCUAAAUAAAAUAAAGUAAGAAAAGAAAAUUCUAUACAUUUUACUAUAUAGUAUUAAUUUCAAUAUAUGCCAUUUUAAAAAAUAUUAAGAGUUUAUCUUUGUUUUUCUUAAUUAUUGGGUAAGGAAACAGUAAUAUGAUCACUAUAAAAUUUAGUAGAGCUUCCAGUCAAAAGAGUUCAUACUGUUACCUUUGUUCUUCACGUUGAGUAUCCAAUGGAUGUAAGCAUGCCUCCUGGGAACAUCAGCAUGUAACUGUUGACCAAAUUGCUGGAACUCCUUGGCGACCUUAAUAGAUUAUGUUAGGAGAUUGUAUUUGUAAGGUAUUUAUAGUCAGUAACAAACACUGGAGGUAGUGAUUGGCUUAAAUAUUGACAAUGUUAUUUAAAAAGGAAAAAAAAAAAAAAAAAACACUGAGAUAGAACCAGGCUGGAAUUUAAAGUGAGUUUUCAUUAUUCAACUCAUGUUGAGUUCAUAGUAUUAUGUGGUAAAAUUUGAUUAUUUUUCUUGUCUAUGACCAAUUAGUUUUCUAAUACACAAAUAGAUAUAAAAAUACAUAUGUUACAAUUAUUAGAUUUCAUGAGGUUUGUGUUGUGUUUAAUUUUAGUGAAAAUAAAAUACAUUUUCGUAAGAGGGAAAUUCCUGAGCUAAAUAUAAUUUAACAUAUCUAAAUUUAGAGUAAGAGCUUAGAUGAUUGUUCUAUGUAUCUUUGAGGCACUUAUGAAGUGUUUGUAAUAUUACUGUCAAUACCCAAAGACAAUUUAAUCAUAAUGUAUUCAAAGAAAAUGUUUUUCUAGUUUUGAAAUUCAUGUAAAUAAGAAAUCCUGCAAUGGUCAAUGAGUUUCUACUAGAUGUGCUACUAUUUAAUUUUAUACAGAACUAAAAUCAUAUAUGGGUUAUUUGAUAUAACCUAAAAACUAGUUUCAAGUUUUUAUCUAAUAAAACUGGCACACUAAAAUUAAUUAUUU